GACGAACGCUGGCGGCGUGCCUAACACAUGCAAGUCGAACGAAGCACUGUAAACGGAGAUUCGUCAAAGUUUGCUUUGACUUAGUGGCGGACGGGUGAGUAAUGUAUGAGCAACCUGCCUUUCAGUGGGGGACAACAGUUGGAAACGACUGCUAAUACCGCAUGAUGUCAAUUGGGGGCAUCCCCGAAUGACCAAAGGAUUUAUUCGCUGAAAGAUGGGCUCAUAUCUGAUUAGCUAGUUGGUGAGGUAACGGCUCACCAAGGCUGCGAUCAGUAGCCGGACUGAGAGGUUGAACGGCCACAUUGGGACUGAGACACGGCCCAGACUCCUACGGGAGGCAGCAGUGGGGAAUAUUGCACAAAUGGGGGGAAACCCUGAUGCAGCGACGCCGCGUGAGUGAAGAAGUAUUCGGUAUGUAAAAGCUCUAUCAGCAGGAAGAAAAUGACGGUACCUGACUAAGAAGCCCCGGCUAACUACGUGCCAGCAG
Molecule: ribosomal RNA, 487 nt
Filed under: uncultured bacterium
Lineage: Bacteria
Description: bacterial SSU rRNA
Rfam family: Bacterial small subunit ribosomal RNA
Source: RNAcentral